UACGUAGGGUGCAAGCGUUAAUCGGAAUUACUGGGCGUAAAGCGUGCGCAGGCGGUUAUAUAAGUUAGAUGUGAAAUCCCCGGGCUCAACCUGGGAACUGCAUUCGUGACUGCAUGGCUAGAGUGCGGCAGAGGGGGAUGGAAUUCCGCGUGUAGCAGUGAAAUGCGUAGAUAUGCGGAGGAACACCGAUGGCGAAGGCAAUCCCCUGGACCUGCACUGACGCUGAUGCACGAAAGCGUGGGGAGCAAACAGG
This 253-nucleotide ribosomal RNA is filed under the name uncultured bacterium. RNAcentral describes it as "partial 16S ribosomal RNA". It matches the Rfam family "Bacterial small subunit ribosomal RNA", at positions 524 to 776 of the family's 1533-position model. The record is from RNAcentral.